Molecule: long non-coding RNA, 1068 nt
Filed under: Pan troglodytes (chimpanzee)
Lineage: Eukaryota; Metazoa; Chordata; Mammalia; Primates; Hominidae
Description: lncRNA (ENSPTRG00000053892.1)
Source: RNAcentral
GCUUGAUGAAAUUGUACUGGUCAAGUCAGUCAAACCAGUCAAGCGGACAAGAAAGAGGGACUCAGAUCACCUGGAAUUAUGGCAAUGUCUUGCAAGGAUACUUCUGAAAAUCGGGUGUCACGGGAAGCUGAACUUUGCAUCCCAGUUCUGAAACAUACAGCAACCUCAUGGAGACAGAUGCAUCACUCGGCAUUUUGGGGUGGUAGCAAGUUCAGUGACCUGCCAGAUUUCUUAGCAUUAACUUGAAAGAGAAGACACUUAUUUGAUUUGAUUUGAUUUCUACUAGUCAAGUGGGCACCUGGAUUAAGCAGACUCUCCCCCCAGGCACCCCAGAGGCCUCUGACAUCCCUUAUGUCCAGCCCAGACACGGCCUUUCUGUGGCCUCAGCGUAUCUGCCCAGUCCAAUCGGCUAUAGCCAGAAUAAAAAGGGAGGAAGAUCCAAGAGAGGGAAGGAGGCUUUCCCAGCUACUUUCCUGCUAACCAGGGCAGAGGCUGGUCUGCAUCCCCCUAUCCAGGUGGCCCCUGCAGUCAUGGCUUUUCUGCUUCUAGAAGCCAUCCCUGAGAACAUCAUUGCAGAACUCAAAAUACAUUGCAUCAUACAAAAUGAAGUGGAGAAUUAAGGUAAUUAUCCAAUUAUUAAAAACCAUUUCUUAUUCGUUAGCUAAAUAACUCUUCAAGUCUCCAUUUUGCAUGUGUUCCUCUGAUGUGAAUUUGACCCUGGCCUAUUUGUUUUUCAGUAAAGUCCAAAAUCCAAAAUAGCCCAACAGAAAGACCCCCUCCCAGUAUUCCACAGCAUCAGUAAUAAAGCUCCUUAUCAGAUCUAAUUUGAAUCUUUCUUGAAACAACUUAAGUCCUUCUGCACCAUCCUCUGCAAGUGCAGAACAGCCAGAGUGCAGGUUGCAGGAUGUGGGGGGAUUAUUACAGUGAAAUCGGCACAUGGAUCUCAAGAUGAAAGUUUGCUGUUUCUCCAGACCGUCUAGGUGACUGCCUUUUGAAAUCGCACACGGCUUAUACUGCCAUUCGUGUAGUUUAAGAAAAAAAUUAAAUAAAAGUGCAAAAGGAAACCAG